UCACAUGAUUGAUGUUAGCAGAAUGU
Molecule: non-coding RNA, 26 nt
Filed under: Macaca fascicularis (crab-eating macaque)
Lineage: Eukaryota; Metazoa; Chordata; Mammalia; Primates; Cercopithecidae
Also listed under: 1 other name
Source: RNAcentral